CAUAUCAAUAAGCGGAGGAAAAGAAACCAACAGGGAUUGCCUUAGUAACGGCGAGUGAAGCGGCAAAAGCUCAAAUUUGAAAUCUGGCACCUUCGGUGUCCGAGUUGUAAUUUGAAGAAGGUAACUUUGGAGUCAGCUCUUGUCUAUGUUCCUUGGAACAGGACGUCACAGAGGGUGAGAAUCCCGUGCGAUGAGAUGUCUGAUUCUAUGUAAAGUGCUUUCGAAGAGUCGAGUUGUUUGGGAAUGCAGCUCUAAGUGGGUGGUAAAUUCCAUCUAAAGCUAAAUAUUGGCGAGAGACCGAUAGCGAACAAGUACAGUGAUGGAAAGAUGAAAAGAACUUUGAAAAGAGAGUGAAAAAGUACGUGAAAUUGUUGAAAGGGAAGGGUUUGAGAUCAGACUUGGUAUUUUGUAUGUCUUGCUUUCGGGUGGGGCCUCUACAGUUUACUGGGCCAGCAUCGGUUUGGACGGUAGGAUAAUGACAUUGGAAUGUGGCACCACUUCGGUGGUGUGUUAUAGACUUUGUUGAUACUGCCUGUCUAGACCGAGGACUGCGUCUUUGACUAGGAUGCUGGCAUAAUGAUCUUAAACCGC
This 591-nucleotide ribosomal RNA is filed under the name Scheffersomyces stipitis. Its description in RNAcentral is "partial 28S ribosomal RNA". It matches the Rfam family "Eukaryotic large subunit ribosomal RNA", at positions 39 to 648 of the family's 3401-position model. The record is from RNAcentral. Lineage: Eukaryota; Fungi; Ascomycota; Pichiomycetes; Serinales; Debaryomycetaceae.